GAUGAAGAACGUAGCGAAAUGCGAUAAGUAAUGUGAAUUGCAGAAUUCAGUGAAUCAUCGAAUCUUUGAACGCACCUUGCGCCCUUUGGCUAUUCCGAAGGGCAUGCCUGUUUGAGUAUCAUGAACACCUCAACUCUCAUGGUUUGCCAUGAUGAGCUUGGACUCUGGGGGUCUUGCUGGCCUAUGGUCAGCUCCUCUCAAAUAAAUCAGCUUGCCAGUGUUUGGUGGCAUCACAGGUGUGAUAACUAUCUACGCUUGUGGUUUUCCAUCAGGUAACCUUCAGUGAUGGAGGUUCGCUGGAGCUCAUAAAUGUCCCGCCUCAGCGAGGACAGCUUUUUGAACGUUUGAUCUCAAAUCAGGUAGGACUACCCGCUGAACUUAAGCAUAUCAAUAAGCGGAGGA
RNAcentral lists this unclassified non-coding RNA (402 nucleotides) under soil metagenome. Its description in RNAcentral is "partial contains 5.8S ribosomal RNA, internal transcribed spacer 2, and large subunit ribosomal RNA". The stretch from base 1 to 121 matches the Rfam family "5.8S ribosomal RNA", at positions 35 to 154 of the family's 154-position model. The record is from RNAcentral.